Molecule: ribosomal RNA, 592 nt
Filed under: uncultured archaeon
Lineage: Archaea
Description: bacterial SSU rRNA
Rfam family: Archaeal small subunit ribosomal RNA
Source: RNAcentral
UAGUCGUGCGCCUUCAAUGNCCAUGAUGGAGGCGCGGCACACCGUCAGUAACACGUGGCUAACCUACCCUUGAGACAGAGACACCUCCGGGAAACUGGAGCUAAUCUCUGAUAGGUGAGGAACCCUGGAAUGGAUCUUCGCCCAAAAGACGUUUAGAUCAUGCUUCUAGACGUUGCCCAAGGAUGGGGCCGCGGCCGAUCAGUUGUUGGUGAGGUAACGGCUCACCAAGCCUGUAACCGGUACGGGCCGUGAAAGCGGUAGCCCGGAGAUGGGAACUGAGACAAGGUCCCAGCCCUACGGGGCGCACAGUCGCGCAACCUUCGCAAUAAGCGAAAGCUUGACGGGGUUAUCCCGAGUGUCAUCCGCUGAGGGUGACUUUUACCCAGUGUAAUAGCUGGGGGAAUCAAGGAGAGGGCAAGUCCGGUGUCAGCCGACGCGGUAAUACCAGCUCUCCGAGUGGUGGGGACGCUUACUGGGCCUGAAGCAUCCGUAACUGGCUGGACAAGUCCCCUGUUAAAACCAGCGAUCUAAUCGUUGGAUUGCGGGGGAUACUGCCCGGCUAAGGGGCGGGAGAGGCCGACGGUAUUCCCGG